Molecule: long non-coding RNA, 1864 nt
Filed under: Mytilus galloprovincialis (Mediterranean mussel)
Lineage: Eukaryota; Metazoa; Mollusca; Bivalvia; Mytilida; Mytilidae
Source: RNAcentral
AGCGACAACAAGCGUCAAGAAGCGACAACAAGCGACAACAAGCGACACACAGAAUUAUUUUAGCGACAACAAGCGACAAUAAGACUAUUUAGCGACAAUAAAACAUUUUUUUUUUUAUUAGAUAUAAAGAAAUUUGUAUUUAAUGUUUUUUUUUAAUAUAUGAGCAGAUAUGUCUAAUUAAAAUGUUUUAUUAUAUAGAUAGACGAAGAAAGGACACAUUUGUGAGGAAGAAAGAGAUUGUGAAGUUUAUAUUAGUAUAUUGGUAGAUGAAGAAAUUAAAUAUUUGUGAAGAAGAAAGAGAUUGAGCUUCUUUUUUUAAUUUUUAAAUAUGAAGAAUAUGUAUAAGAUAAUGUAUGUAUCUGUUUUCAUCAAAGUCAAAGUAUGAAUAAACGAAUGGAGAUAUAUAUGGAGCGGGCAUAAUGGAAUAUAAUAUUUUGAUUCAUUUGCUUAAUACUAUGCUCUAAGUGUACUCUUGUUAUGUCAAUUCGAUGCUUUAUUUGUAGAACUCUCAGCCACGCUUUGCCAUCUUUAUUAUUAAAGCGUGUUUCCAGACCUCACGACGAGGACGUGGUUCUACAUUGGGGUCCAUAUAAUUUUUUUUUUUUUUUUUUUUUUUUUUUUUUUUUUUUUUUUUUUUUUUUUUAGUCAUUAUAUAGUAAUAUGUACAUUCUUAUCUAACAUAAUAUUUAUACAUUUUGUACAUGGUGGUCCCAUUUUGAUAAGCCGUAGAUUUUUACCACUAAGGUUCACUGUAUUUUUGCCCUUUUUGAAGUUGUAGUUUUAGCAUUUUUAAUACGUUUCCGUUGGCAAGGUUUACGUGCACAUGCACUUGUUUUGGGGAUUGUCAGCCACCAUCUGUUGAAGUGGUGGACUCUGGGAUUGCGUUUAACUUUCUCCAUGAGUCAAGAAUUUUUUGCAAUGCAAAAGCCUUUUCUUUUUCCGAUUUAAUCUGCCAUAGAGCUUUUGUGCAUUGAAAAUGGCUUACUGAGGAGCUUAGCUCAAAGUCUCCAUGUCCAUAAAGUGCGCCAUUGACAAGACUUUCUUGCAACUUUAUUUCUUUGUGAAUUUUAUUAAUUAACUCUGGAAGUUUCUCAGGCUUCCAAUCUUGAUUUAGUUUCAAGAUGUGAUUGAUUGAUUCACAAUUAUUGUUUUUCCAUUGCAAUGGAAUUCUCGACUCUGUUUUUCGAGCAUUGUACACGUAAUCCCUUAUAGUAGGAAUAACUUUUUGCGUAAGAUAUGGACCAACGAGGUCUUCAUAUUUUCUUUCAAUAUCAGUAACCUUAGUGGAAAAAUCUACCGUCGUAUCUGCUUCUAUCAGACCGUUAUCCCCAAAUAAGUCUGAUAAAAUUUGUUUUGCGUUCUUGUCAUUAACGCCGACCUUUGUUCUCAAAUGCCUUGUAACAUUUUCACUCAAGUGCCUUGUGCACAAUGUGAGUUCAGAUGUUGGGAAACUGUCUUUGAUAGCUUUUACUAAAGCCUUUUCAAAAAAAAAAAGGUCAACUUUCCUUUGAAGGAUUUAUUGAAACAAAAACAUGAAAUAUAAUUUCCUUUCUAACAGUAUAAUUCAUUGUUCUUGAUAGGAACAACAUUAGAUGUGGCUUCACCCUAAGGUAAUAACAGUACACACAAUGUGGAACAUCAAAUGAGAUUAACGAGGCGUGUGUCUCCUGUUUUAUUGCUACAAUAACAUCCAAUUAACACUUUCAACUUUGUACACGCGUCAGACUAUACAAUUACACGCGCCAGAAUAUACAAUCAUUGUAAAUGUGAACACCUGUUGAAAACUCAAGAUUGUCAUUAAUUUCCUUUCAUCUUUAAUCAAUAUGCAUAAACAUGAUAAAUAUCGUUUAAUGAGGCAAUAAUU